UAUCGGAACUUGGUGGCAUUUGGUUGUGGAGUGCGCGUUAAUACUACUAACUACUUAACGUAUUUUCGUUGGCUACAAAACGAGCACGAGUGUGUUUAUAAGCACAAUCAAGUACUAACUCCCGAACCGAUGACGGUGUAUUACAAGUGGAUGGAUGCGCGCGCGAUUUCUCUCUCAAUUUUGCCUGAGUGCAGCAUUAUUUACGAUUUUAAUUCGCAUACAGCAGCCGUAAUUAAAUUAACAGCAGCAGUAAACUAAACAAGUGCCCCUGAACGCAUAUAAAUGGAUUGCGCAAAAAACGAAAAAGUAAUAGUCAUAUUAAAAAAAAAAAAAUAAAAAA
This is a long non-coding RNA of Rhagoletis zephyria (snowberry fruit fly), 340 nucleotides long. RefSeq lists it as uncharacterized. NCBI's taxonomy places the organism in Eukaryota, Metazoa, Arthropoda, Insecta, Diptera, Tephritidae. The record is from RefSeq and is a predicted model, not a curated record.